Peromyscus eremicus (cactus mouse) is the source of this 513-nucleotide long non-coding RNA. RefSeq lists it as uncharacterized. The record is from RefSeq and is a predicted model, not a curated record. NCBI's taxonomy places the organism in Eukaryota, Metazoa, Chordata, Mammalia, Rodentia, Cricetidae. The transcript is spliced from 2 exons.
AGGAAAUGAAACAGGCCCUUUUGAGCUAAAUGAAAGGUUAUCCAAGGAGAAUAAGGUCUGAAAUAGCCACAGGUUCGCACUUUGCUGACAGACCCAUCCAAGCAUCAGUUGUUAAUGACAACCUGCUCCAUGUGACUAUGAGCCCUGAACUUCAUGAAAGCUGAUAUAAACUAAUCCAACUGAUGCAAAGGCUGUUUCUUCAACUGGUCAAUGAACCAGAAGUUUCUAAAUUGCCUCCUUACCUUUGACUAACAUUCUAACCUUCCAAGGUCCUGACAAUGUCUGGGACAAGGUCAGAAUCUCUAGGACAGGCAACUAGAUCAUCUUAUAGUCAGGUUGCCUAGCCACAGGACAUUGAGGCAGAGCCCUUGACCCUUUCACCCUGUAAACAUCCUAUACAAACAUCCUGUUAGCUUGCCCCACCUUAUGCAAAUAACAGCUUCUUGCUCCCCCCACCCUGCAGGAACUAUAUAAACCCUCUUGGAGAAAAAUAAAGUGGCACCUUGAUCAGAA